RNAcentral lists this transfer RNA (70 nucleotides) under Cressida cressida. RNAcentral describes it as "tRNA-Ser". Lineage: Eukaryota; Metazoa; Arthropoda; Insecta; Lepidoptera; Papilionidae. The record is from RNAcentral.
AAUUAAUGAGCUUGUUUAAGCAUUUGUUUUGAAAACUUAAUAAAGAAUAUAUUUUCUAUUCUAUUAAUUU